UGGGGAAUUUUCCGCAAUGGGCGAAAGCCUGACGGAGCGACGCCGCGUGGAGGAUGAAGGAUUUCGGUCUGUAAACUCCUGUCAGGGGGGACGAUAAUGACGGUACCCCCAAAGGAAGCAUCGGCUAACUACGUGCCAGCAGCCGCGGUAAGACGUAGGAUGCGAGCGUUGUUCGGAUUUAUUGGGCGUAAAGCGUGCGUAGGCGGUUAUCUAAGUCUGGUGUUAAAGCUAGGGGCUCAACCCCUGUGAUGCACUGGAAACUGGGUGACUCGAGUGCGGUAGGGGAAGGUGGAAUUCCGAGUGUAGCGGUGAAAUGCGUAGAUAUUCGGAAGAACACCGGUGGCGAAGGCGACCUUCUGGGCCGCAACUGACGCUGAGGCACGAAAGCCUGGGGAGCGAACGG
Molecule: ribosomal RNA, 403 nt
Filed under: uncultured bacterium
Lineage: Bacteria
Description: bacterial SSU rRNA
Rfam family: Bacterial small subunit ribosomal RNA
Source: RNAcentral